AUUGAACGCUGGCGGCAGGCCUAACACAUGCAAGUCGAACGGUAACAGGAAGCAGCUUGCUGCUUCGCUGACGAGUGGCGGACGGGUGAGUAAUGUCUGGGAAACUGCCUGAUGGAGGGGGAUAACUACUGGAAACGGUAGCUAAUACCGCAUAACGUCGCAAGACCAAAGAGGGGGACCUUAGGGCCUCUUGCCAUCGGAUGUGCCCAGAUGGGAUUAGCUAGUAGGUGGGGUAACGGCUCACCUAGGCGACGAUACCUAGCUGGUCUGAGAGGAUGACCAGCCACACUGGAACUGAGACACGGUCCAGACUCCUACGGGAGGCAGCAGUGGGGAAUAUUGCACAAUGGGCGCAAGCCUGAUGCAGCCAUGCCGCGUGUAUGAAGAAGGCCUUCGGGUUGUAAAGUACUUUCAGCGGGGAGGAAGGGAGUAAAGUUAAUACCUUUGCUCAUUGACGUUACCCGCAGAAGAAGCACCGGCUAACUCCGUG
This 490-nucleotide ribosomal RNA is filed under the name uncultured bacterium. RNAcentral's name for it is "partial 16S ribosomal RNA". It matches the Rfam family "Bacterial small subunit ribosomal RNA", at positions 30 to 507 of the family's 1533-position model. The record is from RNAcentral.